Molecule: long non-coding RNA, 1019 nt
Filed under: Oryza brachyantha (malo sina)
Lineage: Eukaryota; Viridiplantae; Streptophyta; Magnoliopsida; Poales; Poaceae
Description: long non-coding RNA (OBRA_LNC000303)
Source: RNAcentral
GCCCCCCGCUGGCGGCCCUACCGUCCCUCCAUCACCGCCUCCAUCGACCUCCGGCGCACUUCGUCGACCCCGCCGAGCUCACCGGCUACGCCGGUUCCGCCGAGCCAGACGCUGCCUCCUUCAUCUCCUCCAUUCACUGAGUGCGUCGACUCCAGCGUCGCGCUCGUCGAUCCCGCCGCCGCCGACUUCUCCGAAUCUGGUUAUUCCGCCGCCGCCCCCAUCCCUGCCUCCUUCGCCGGCACCUGUAAGCCCUGGUCAGUGAACGCCUCUAUGCCGGCCUGCAAUUUUGAGUUUUAAAUUAGACAUGGAUUCUUAUGUGAUGCUUCUUACCAUCUGACAAACAGCAAAGAAUUCUAAAUAAUUAACUGCAGAGAAAACAUGAUGUCAACAACUCAGAAAUGUAUUUGUCAUCUUUUCGAACAAGCUUUCAUGUUCUUGAAUGCCCUAUAUUUGACAUUUCUAAAUUUGCACAUAUAUUAGUUUUAACCAGAAAAUGUCUCUAUCCAUGUCUUGACGGAACAAUGAUGGAAUAGACUAACUCAGAGUUAUUUCAUCAGUUGGAGCAAAUUCACAUGUGGAUAUGAACAUUUUUCAGUAUAAGGACAUCAAUAAGCUAAAGGAACAAUGAUGGAUGAAUUUUAACUGCUGUUAAUCAACUACUAAAGUGGAACUGAAGUGCAGAACCUGAAAUUUCUUUUGGCUAAACUUGGUGAUGAACUGAUGACUGAUCAUACAAUUUUAUUAGAUCAUGACGUGAUGUGAAUCAUGUGAUAUUUCCAUCUGUUGCUAAAGCCAUUUUCAUUUAGCUCACUGCAACUUGCUUAAAUUUGUUUUCCAUAUAUUUCCCCACCUCCGUCACAGCACUGCUAUAUUUAUGGACAGUCAAAUAUAACAUUGGUUAAAGCCCCUUUUCUACUCAUAAUUGUUGCUUUUAAACUUGCCGGACUGAUAAAUGCCCUUUGAAAACUAAUCCUUGUCUUCUUCUUGCCUGAAGGGAAUUAAAUGAGCAAGGCUUACUC